GGUAUGUGGCUCAAGUGGUAGAGUGCUUGCUUGGCAUGCGCGGGGUGCUGGGUUCGAUCCUCAGCACCA
Molecule: transfer RNA, 69 nt
Filed under: Marmota monax (woodchuck)
Lineage: Eukaryota; Metazoa; Chordata; Mammalia; Rodentia; Sciuridae
Description: tRNA.Ala
Source: RNAcentral